Long non-coding RNA from Ostrea edulis (European flat oyster), 751 nucleotides. RefSeq lists it as uncharacterized. The record is from RefSeq and is a predicted model, not a curated record. The transcript has 2 exons. NCBI's taxonomy places the organism in Eukaryota, Metazoa, Mollusca, Bivalvia, Ostreida, Ostreidae.
GGAAGAAAUGCAUUACUCUUUACGUUAGCAAUUGCAAGGUCUGUUGGAAACAAAUCACAGCGCCUGUCUGUUGGUAAUACCAGGGAAGUGAACAAGCGUUUAUGGAGCUAAGAUCAAUGGAGGGCGACACAAUGUUUGUAAACAAGAGACAAAGAUUUGUCGUGAUCAAUCAGAGACACGUGUAUAAAUUCAUAAUCUGUUAAAUAAUGGCGAGCAGUUCCCAAGCCUUGACGUCGGGAGGAGCAUUAACAUUGAUGAAAGGACAUUCCUACGAAAAGUAAACAGUGGUGUUCUGUUCUGUAGGUUUCCUAGAUCGAACAAUAAAAUAGUGCCCAAUGUUACCAAGACUAUCAUUGGAAUGUAUUCAGCUGUAAAUUGUUUUUUUUUUUAAAUAUAAUUUAUUAUGUGCGGAGUGAUCCUACUUAAAUUUUGAAAUAGUAAACAAGAAGUAUCUCCUUCUCUUGAUAAAAUACUCACUUUGGUAUGGUACUACUUUCUGUAUAUAUUAACGAAUCCAACCCUUUAGUAUAUGCCAAGUAGAUAAUUAUACAGAUACUAGAGGAAAGUCUAGUUCUAAUUCUGAUUGUGGAUUUCACAAAUACGUCCACCCUCCACCAUUUUCUUUUACCCACUUUUUGCAACCUGUUUGGCUUCAGAAAGAUUUAUUUGCAUGUAUCAAUCACAAUAGAAUUUAGAUAUAGAAUUUGUUUUGUUUCAUUCAGCUUUUCAAAUAAAAAUCUUUUCCACGCUC